AGUGAACGCUGGCGGUAGGCCUAACACAUGCAAGUCGAACGGCAGCACAGUAAGAGCUUGCUCUUACGGGUGGUGAGUGGCGGACGGGUGAGGAAUACAUCGGAAUCUACUUUUUCGUGGGGGAUAACGUAGGGAAACUUACGCUAAUACCGCAUACGACCUACGGGUGAAAGCAGGGGAUCUUCGGACCUUGCGCGAUUGAAUGAGCCGAUGUCGGAUUAGCUAGUUGGCGGGGUAAAGGCCCACCAAGGCGACGAUCCGUAGCUGGUCUGAGAGGAUGAUCAGCCACACUGGAACUGAGACACGGUCCAGACUCCUACGGGAGGCAGCAGUGGGGAAUAUUGGACAAAGGGCGCAAGCCUGAUCCAGCCAUACCGCGUGGGUGAAGAAGGCCUUCGGGUUGUAAAGCCCUUUUGUUGGGAAAGAAAAGCAGCAGGUUAAUACCCCGCUGUUCUGACGGUACCCAAAGAAUAAGCACCGGCUAACUUCGUG
RNAcentral lists this ribosomal RNA (492 nucleotides) under uncultured bacterium. Its description in RNAcentral is "partial 16S ribosomal RNA". It matches the Rfam family "Bacterial small subunit ribosomal RNA", at positions 29 to 507 of the family's 1533-position model. The record is from RNAcentral.